This 1168-nucleotide long non-coding RNA is filed under the name Nicotiana benthamiana. RNAcentral's name for it is "long non-coding RNA (NBEN_LNC037616)". The record is from RNAcentral. Lineage: Eukaryota; Viridiplantae; Streptophyta; Magnoliopsida; Solanales; Solanaceae.
AGUCAUAUGAAAACAAAGAAGUCCAAACUCAAUUCAAAGACUCGAAGUUAGUCUGGAAGAGUCAGGGGUUCUAAAACUAAAACCCUAGUUCAAAUAAAUUAUAUGAUUAAACUUGGCAGAACCCUAAAAUUUACUGUUUCUACCUUUAAUCAAAUACAGAGGAGAAGGCAAGUGGUCGAAUCAGGCUUAGAGGUUCCAGAUAAGAACUGAAACCUCUUGUAUGCUUCGACCAGUAUCACAAACUUAUGAGAAAACAUGAUGUCAGGCAGAACACAGCAGGAGCAUUCAAAGAUAAUAAAGGAAAAUACUAAUAGAAACAGUAGAAGAAGCAUGCUUGAGAAGGUCUUUUUUACAAGAAACGUAACAAGGAUUAGUAGAGCACAGUAGAAAAGUAUAGUAGCCAAACAUAGCAUGACAUAGUAGAAGAAAAUAUCAGAAUAUAGUAGAAAUCAUACGAGAACAUAGUAUGGAAAACAUAGUAGAAGAACAUACAAGCAUGGAGCAUAUAAAGCACACUAAAAGAACAUGCAUGAAUGGAGUAUAAAAACUCAGUUGAAGAACAUACAAAGAACACAAACAGUAGAAGAACAUACAAAAACAAGGUAGAUAAAAAAAUAGGAUCAUAGUCGAGGCAAAUACACAAAUAAAAGGGAAAGAAAGUCAGAGAAACACUUAAGUAUUUUUUUCAGAAAAACCUAGAUCGGAAAAGAAAGAUUUUAAAAGUAAUUUUUGAAAGAAAAGUUGGGAAAAUCAUUUCAAAACUAAAGGAAAUCAUAGAUACACAACAAAUCUAAAGAAAUCGGAGAAAACCCUCAAAAGGUUAGGAUUCCAGAAGAACUCUAGAAAUGAGAAAGGCUUUGAAAGCCCACUGAUCUGAGUCAGAGAGGUUAGAAAUAGGCUCAGAUAACCUUGGUACACCGGAGCAAGGCCAGAGAUGACCCUGGAACCUUGAAUCGACAGAGGUCUGUGUUCGAAUCUUUAUAGUCAGGCCUCGAAUCUUCAAAGGUCGGGCUUGUAAGGGCAAGAAGAGGUGGGUAUAGGACUCCCAUGGCCUGAGAAGCCAUAGAUUUCGGUGGGUUUCAAGGUAGAAUAUGUAAGAGGCGGCUAGGUUCAGAGAAGGUUUAAGAGUGUUUGAGAGGGAGGGAGGUGGGGUUUCAGAGGUGGCUGG